Molecule: long non-coding RNA, 492 nt
Organism: Diorhabda sublineata
Lineage: Eukaryota; Metazoa; Arthropoda; Insecta; Coleoptera; Chrysomelidae
Exons: 2
Source: RefSeq, a predicted model, not a curated record
AUUUCGCUAGAAAAAGUUUGAGAAAAAAUAUAAGCUUGGCAACAUCGCUGUAUAUCAUCUGUUUUCGUUUACGUGAAAAUGGCUGCCUUUGUUUACUAAAUAUUGAGAAAGAAUAUUGAAUAGAUUUGUUAAAGUGAAAUAUAUUUGAGUGUUUAGAUAUUGUUUAAGCGAUACAAUAGUGCGAAGACAAUGGGUAAAUCGUGUUAUGUUUGUAUAAAAGUGGAUUAUUUGAAUCUUAACCUUUCAUUUCAUAACAGAAAUUACAUCUUCAAUUAGUUGUUACUUUGGUACGUUGGUUAUUACCGUUUGACGGCGGCGGUCAGACGGCUGGAACCUAGACUCCCAUCGUCUCCUUCAUGAUUACCAGUAUUGCAAUUAUGGAAUGUGUGUAUCGGACAGUCGUCGCCGGAAGUUUCCCCGCCUCACAACACAUACAUAACAUAUAACUAUUUUGAUGCUUAAUUAAAUAAAACAUAUUUCAAGUUAUAAAAA